Molecule: long non-coding RNA, 2198 nt
Organism: Medicago truncatula (barrel medic)
Lineage: Eukaryota; Viridiplantae; Streptophyta; Magnoliopsida; Fabales; Fabaceae
Exons: 10
Source: RefSeq, a predicted model, not a curated record
ACUCACUCCCUGUAGCUUGGAAUCAAGUGAUUUUUGAUGCUAUGGUUAGCUAACGAAAUUCUGGACGUUUUGGUACCAGUUUCAUUGAUUUUGGUCUAGAUUUGAAGUCUGUAGACGAUUUUGAAGUUGGGGGCAGAAGUAGGAUUUUGUGCUGAACCAUGAAUAUAAAGCAAAGGAAAGCUGAGAUAGAGCAACCAACCACUUCUACAAUUGGCGAGUAUAAACAUUUUGUCAAAGGUUCUUGCUUAGCAAAAUAAGCGGGAUAUAGCAGAGUUUUGCAAGUAUGAAGGGGUAGUGCUGGACAUCCCUUUGAAAAUUGUCCGUGGCAGUUGUCAAAAAAACUGCCAUACCAUUUCCGCCAUGACUGGCAUUUAACUACACAACACUAUAUCAGAUUCAAUCGUAACGUUAAAAUCUUUAUCAUGUAUGUUUGCAUGAUCAUGUUGGUAGUAAUUGGAAGCCUGUAGUAUCAAAUAUGGGAGUAUGCAACUAACAUGGCUGAUUCUCCACUGCCCCCCUUAGUUCUUAUGCAACAGGCAUGGCAUGAUUGGUCGAAAGCUGUAGAGAUAUGAGUGAAGGAUUUGAAAGGUUUGCUACGUUUAAUGAAGAACUGUUCAAGGAAAUCACACAACUAUUGACAUUGGAGAUUUUAGGGAAAAUGAAUAGUUGUCAAAGUAUGGUGAUACUAAGUCUGUGCGGGCAGUCACGUUGGUUGAGCUUAAAAAGCACAUUGAAGCCAAUCAUUAUUUCUUGACAAAUUGCAAUUUCCUAACCUAAAAAACUCAAUGUUAAGGACACUCAUCAAUCAAAGAAUUGUAGAUGGCCUUGCUGUUUGCGAGGCAAUUAUGACAUGGUGAUUUUCUUUUUCUUUUUUGGGUUACUUUUAUUUUUAGUUUUGCGGAUGUAUGAUUGGUAUUUACUAAUCAUGAUUAUAUUUAUGAGUGCUAUUUUUGUUGAAGGGUUAUUGCUUUAUACUGUUAUUAUUAUUUUACUCUGUGGUUGCAAUAUAAACUUUCAUGAUGACUUUUGGAUUAGCCCAUGAAAAAAAGUUUAUUUUUUAUUUUUUUUGCUGUGAUCUUCCUCCUCUAUUUACACUCUAUUGGGUUUACCAAAAUUUGUAUAUUGUGUUGAAAUUUGAAAGAGUGUAUGGUUUUGCCUGUCAACCAUUUCUUUUAUUAACUCAUGGUUGUUAAUUGAACCAAUAAUUAUGUUUUAUGCAUAUUUUUGGUAUUCACUUUCCUGAUUUGAAAUGGAACAAUACCUUUUUACAAAUUAAGCUUAUUCUGUAGAAGAUGGGCACAGAAAAAUAAAUUAAAUUUCUAUCUAACACCACGACUUAACGCCGCAAUCUACCUUUGCUUGAUCUGCUAUUCUAUCUGAUAACAAGUCUGACAUAUUAUUCACAAAGAGAGAAAGAAUAUGAUUGCUGAUAUAAUUUGGUUUGAAAUUUUAACGAUUUGAGAAGAAAUGUAACUGAUGUAUUCAUUCCACCAUUGAUGCCGCGAUUUGAUGCAGCACUCUACCUUUAACUUGAUGUGCAGGCUCUCCUUUUUUAUUUGAUGAAAUCAUUGUAACUUGGUCUGUUAUAUGCUUCAACUCUUUUUCAAUCUUUUUUACUUGAUUCUUCAGCAAUAUUAAUUGAUUCAAAUGUACUGUUCGAUAUAGAUUCUCUAUUAGACUGGUAUUAUUCUCUUGGUAUGUUUGUUUUCCUUCUUUUAAAUUGAACUUGGUAGUGCUCAAAUCUUCAUUUUUUACUCUUUUACAUUCACAUAUUUUGCAGGCUGGUCUUUUUGUAUAUGACAUUUUCUGUGUUUUCUUCACUCAUGUGAUGGUUAGCGUUGCGAAAUCAUUUGAUGCUCUUUGCUGAGUGCAAUGGAAAUAUUUGUUUCUUUUGUUCCCCACAGCAGAUUCUGCAAGGCUAUUUUCAAUGCUUGGACUUGGUGAUAUUGUUAUUCCAGGGGCGAUAAUGCCGAAUGGUUGAAAGCAUUCAAAGGCUGUAUUGAGAAUCCAUAAACCAUCUUGUUGUAAGUAGAAGGCUCCGAUGAAGUACUCAAUUCCUUUUUUCGAGUGAUAUUGUAUGUGGGAGAUAAGAUUUGAUCACCGGGUAUUUACCCAUUUGGGUUUAAAUUGUAAAAAGAAUACUAGUAGUUAAAAGAGAUAUUGUUUUAUACGUUGAAAUAGAAACUGGAUGUUAAGUG